RNAcentral lists this ribosomal RNA (492 nucleotides) under uncultured bacterium. RNAcentral describes it as "partial 16S ribosomal RNA". It matches the Rfam family "Bacterial small subunit ribosomal RNA", at positions 29 to 507 of the family's 1533-position model. The record is from RNAcentral.
AGUGAACGCUGGCGGUAGGCCUAACACAUGCAAGUCGAACGGCAGCACAGUAAGAGCUUGCUCUUACGGGUGGCGAGUGGCGGACGGGUGAGGAAUACAUCGGAAUCUACUUUUUCGUGGGGGAUAACGUAGGGAAACUUACGCUAAUACCGCAUACGACCUACGGUUGAAAGCAGGGGAUCUUCGGACCUUUCGCGAUUGAAUGAGCCGAUGUCGGAUUAGCUAGUUGGCGGGGUAAAGGCCCACCAAGGCGACGAUCCGUAGCUGGUCUGAGAGGAUGAUCAGCCACACUGGAACUGAGACACGGUCCAGACUCCUACGGGAGGCAGCAGUGGGGAAUAUUGGACAAUGGGCGCAAGCCUGAUCCAGCCAUACCGCGUGGGUGAAGAAGGCCUUCGGGUUGUAAAGCCCUUUUGUUGGGAAAGAAAAGCAGCAGGUUAAUACCCCGCUGUUCUGACGGUACCCAAAGAAUAAGCACCGGCUAACUUCGUG